RNAcentral lists this ribosomal RNA (131 nucleotides) under Ammandra decasperma. RNAcentral's name for it is "partial 5.8S ribosomal RNA". It matches the Rfam family "5.8S ribosomal RNA", at positions 29 to 154 of the family's 154-position model. Rfam says of the family: 5.8S ribosomal RNA (5.8S rRNA) is a component of the large subunit of the eukaryotic ribosome. It is transcribed by RNA polymerase I as part of the 45S precursor that also contains 18S and 28S rRNA. Functionally, it is thought that 5.8S rRNA may be involved in ribosome translocation. The record is from RNAcentral. Lineage: Eukaryota; Viridiplantae; Streptophyta; Magnoliopsida; Arecales; Arecaceae.
UGCAUCGAUGAAGAACGUAGCGAAAUGCGAUACCUGGUGUGAAUUGCAGAAUCCCGCGAACCGUCGAGUCUUUGAAUGCAAGUUGCGCCCGAGGCCACCCGRCCGAGGGYACGCCUGCCUGGGUGUCACGC